AUUGAACGCUGGCGGCAUGCUUUACACAUGCAAGUCGAACGGUAACAGGCCGCAAGGUGCUGACGAGUGGCGAACGGGUGAGUAAUGCAUCGGAACGUGCCCAGUCGUGGGGGAUAACUACUCGAAAGAGUAGCUAAUACCGCAUACGAUCUAUGGAUGAAAGCGGGGGACCGUAAGGCCUCGCGCGAUUGGAGCGGCCGAUGUCAGAUUAGGUAGUUGGUGGGGUAAAGGCUCACCAAGCCAACGAUCUGUAGCCGGUCUGAGAGGACGACCAGCCACACUGGGACUGAGACACGGCCCAGACUCCUACGGGAGGCAGCAGUGGGGAAUUUUGGACAGUGGCGCAAGCCUGAUCCAGCAAUGCCGCGUGCAGGAAGAAGGCCUUCGGGUUGUAAACUGCUUUUGUACGGAACGAAACGGCUCUGGUUAAUACCCGGGGCUAAUGACGGUACCGUAAGAAUAAGCACCGGCUAACUACGUG
RNAcentral lists this ribosomal RNA (481 nucleotides) under uncultured bacterium. RNAcentral describes it as "partial 16S ribosomal RNA". It matches the Rfam family "Bacterial small subunit ribosomal RNA", at positions 30 to 507 of the family's 1533-position model. The record is from RNAcentral.